AAACCCAACUGGGCUGGGGGUCUGUGAGGGCCAGGAAGGUGGAGGUGUCUCCUGUAGAGAGGUGGUAUAUUCUUGGAGGUGUACGUGCCCAAGGGUAGAGAAGGAUGAAAAAAUGGGAGACACCUCUCCAACCUCGUAAUAUACUGAAGGUUGUUUGCUGGAAGGAAAGAAAAGCACAACAGAGAAGUAAAGGAGUGAGAGAGGGCAAAAGGACAUAUUCUGAGUACAUUCCCAAAGCAAGCAUUUCAAGAAUUUUAAACUACCAUUGUUCAUCAUGAUAGUUAAUACCAGAACGGAAAGACAUGAAGGAAUCAGGAUGCAUAGCAAGAGGAACUUUCAAAUUGACCUUUACCCAAGACUGUAAACUCAAAAUAGGUAAUACUAGGAGUUCCUGGGGUAGCUCUGCAGGUUAAAACCUGACUAGUAUCCAUGAGGAUGUGGGUUCGAUCCCUGGCCUUACUUACUGGGUUAAGGGUCCAGUGUUGCCACAAGCUGAGGCAUAGGUCAAAGAUGCAACUUGGUUCUGGUGCUGCUGUGGCUGUGGCACAGGCCAGCAGGUGCAUCUCCAAUUUGACUCCUAGUCUGAGAACUUCCAUAUGCCACAGGUAUGGCCCUAAAAAGCAAAGAAAAAAAUAACUGAUAACUAAUACUUAUACUAUACUGUCACAAGUCAGAUUAUGUUCUGAGAACUGGACCUAUUUACUUUAUUUAGUCACAAAAUGAUGAUCUGAGAUGCUAUUAUCCCCUUUUUAGAAAUAUGGAAACUGAGCCCAGAAAGGUCCACUGACUUAUCAGGGUCUCUUAGCUACUAAAUGAUGAAGCCAGGAUUUGAACUGAGGUGGUCAGUUCAGCUAGAACCCAAGGCCUCCACCAUUUAUCACUACACUGUGAUUUUGCCGGGGACCGCUACAUACCCAAGUGCUUACAUAUACAGAGAACAUGCUGUAAGGCUAAGAUCUAUUUUGGUACUAGAAAGAAAUUCUGAUUCUGGAGUUAGUUAUUUCUCAUUGAAUUAGUACUGGUGUUGUUAGAAUUUUGAUAGUGUGUGCUUUACAUUUAAAACAAAAAGUAAUAUUAAAAUACUGUUUCCUUCAAAAUAAUACAUACAAACUCUUUUUCUAAUGUUUAUUCAAAGCGACCCAAAAUUUAUAGCCAGUCAAGCAGUAACUUAAAAAAAUGCUAGAAUAUCGAAUCUCUAUUUCUGAGAUUUCUCUCCUUAUUUUCUUAAACCAAAGGCUGUGUCACAAAGUUGGACUGACUGAUGCCUGGGCAUACUUAACACACCCCAGUACAUCCCAGGAGGUAGGAUUCUGACCACUCUGACUUUUCCUGAUAGGUCAGGUGGCCUCUUUCCAAGGGCCAGAGAAUGCACACUGCAGAAUCUGAGGACCAGCUCUGAAAACAUACUUCUGUGACUUCCUGGUUAGCUAUUUGGUGAACUAUAGAUUCCAGAGAUGAUGUUUAAUCUUCAUCUACCCAUGUUCUCCACUGCUCCUCUCUCUUUUCUCCCCUAAUCUUUUAAAUAUACUAACUUCUCCUCACAUGGUUGAAGGGAUAAAGGGAACCUGAGUGAGGAAAGCCCUCAAAGCUGCAAGUGAAAUCACCCUCCCCCCCCACACUGCCACCAUUAGGUCAAGCCACUUAGACUAAUUUUAUAGAAACUGAAGUUAGGUCACAGGCAGAAAAAACAAGAGUAUGGCAAAUGUUCCAUCAUAAAUUUCUGUCAGUAAAUUCUUCAUGCUUGAAAGCACCAACUCAGUUUAGGAGGCUGGCUUACUGAAAGGGAACUACGGUAUUUGGUAUUUAAGAAUCGAGUGAAAUAACUUCCUGCCCUACAUUCUGGCUUUGAGAUAACUGAAGUGAAUCAUACAUUAGGAAUGAGAAAUGAAAUUUCCAAAAUGAUGCAUUAAAAACGCAAUUCAUCCAGAGGAAACAAAAUCAUCUCCAUCUCCUGUUUUGUCUCCCCCUCAUGGGGCUGAACCCAGCACACGACCAUGCUCCUCCCAUUACCAGGCAAUGGCAAAUCCUUGAACUUUCCUUAGUGUUACAGUGAUUGAGAGGCACUGCUGGCAUUUAAUGAAUGGCAGCCAGUGAUGCUACAUGUCCUGCAAUGUGCCGUAGACGGGUGCUGCACAGUGGAGAAUUUUCUAACUGAAAUAGCACAACAGCAUCCUUAUUGAAUACUGCUACAGUAGACAGCUGCCUCACCAUCUCUCAGAGCCUCCAGUUUCUAACUGUUUACUUGUCUGGAAUUAACAAAUUAGCUCUCUGUGUUAGAACAUCACAGUAUCCUCCUUAUUUUCUAAUUAAGAGGAAAGACUAUAAUUCAACUACCCCGUCCUGUUGAAAGGGAUCAAAGAGAUUACUUAAGUGAUGGGUACAUCUGGUGGAUAGAGAAUAACAGGAGAAAAUCGUUAAGUACAAGUAAGAACCAUGGAAUUCUGUGACAUAGGAGGAAAUCCAGUGGUUGGAUCUGGAAAAGAGGCAAUGGAUGAAAAGAAGCAUGUGGGCCAAAGUAGGCUAUCAUAUGUCUCUCCUUCCCAUCUUCCUUUUCUCCACAAAUAGUUAUUGAGUGAUGGCUAUCUUUAAGUGUUGUGUAAUGCACUGUGAAACAAUGGUGAGCAGGAAGUGACAUAAUUUCCAUUCUCACUGAGAAUACGUCCUAUCAGAGGAGACUAAUGAAAUAAUCACACAAAUAAGAUAAUGAAUGAGAGCUAAGGUGAUCAUCUGUGAUCGACAGCUGCAUUGCUUGCAGAUGCAAAGAGUGCUACCUGAGUAUUACCUGUAUCAUAUAGUUCCUGGGUUCUGUUAUUAGCAACUGAGUUGGACCAGCCACUCAAUUUUGAUGAACCCAUUUUUCUAGGCAUGAAUAUGCACAUUGUUUUGGAUAUCAAUGUGAGCUCUACGCAGCUAGGACAGAACUUUGGCAGAUUUUUCAGAUUUUAAGCUUGACUCAUUUCAGCUCAGGAUGAGUCAUCAGGGAUGAGUGACCCUACUUCCUGAUACAGUCUUAAUGAGCUCCUCCCACAGAGAGGCCAUAGCACUCCUAACACAGGUACUCUUGCAAUCCCACAUGGGGCUUUCAUGAGCAGUCAACAUCAUUAAACUAAUCUCACAAAUGAUUAUAGAAUGCAGACUUUUUCCAUAUUUAAGACCAAGUAAAAAUGAGUAAACAGCAGCCCUUGCCUGUGAGGGGCUUCAGCUGGAGAAGAACAUAUAAUCAUACAACUUGAUGUGUCACAUGUCAUGGGACCAUAGAGGAAGAGGUUGUUUACUCCUUCAUUGUGCUCUGAGGUAUCUCUGGCUGGUUCCAAAAGUAGCACGACUGGAGAUGGAGAACUUGACUCUGAGGCAUUCCUGAAAGAGAUAUUUAAUGUAGGAUAGACCAUCCCACAACCAAAAUCUCUCACCUUUUAACUGAGCCUGGAUUCUCCAUGAUGUUUCUUGUUCAAACCUAAGUAUCCAGGGCUACCUUUUAGGACAGUUUAACUCAGGUUAGCUGAAUGAGGAGUUGGGAGACUUCCCUGCAUGUACCUGAGUGUGGCUGUAACUUUCUCUUAGAAACCUUAUGAAUACUGACUGCCUCCACUCCCAGAUCCUUCUACUCCAGCCAACACAAACUCAUCAGUAUAGCUACUGCUCCACAGAAUAUGGAGUUUGGGGAUGGCAGAGAACACAAUGCUGCCAUCCCAGGAAGUAUGAGUUCAGAGUGGUCCUCCCUCCUCAUCUUCAGGUCCCCAGGACACUGGAGCCUAACCCUAGAGUCGCUACUUUAUAAAUAUUUCCCCAGUCCCCCUCCUCCUUUCCAUCCCCAUGGCCACUAAGGUAUUCAUGCAGUAGGCUGAGUAGGCUGUUCCAAGAACUCGAUGCCUUGACCCUUUCAGUCUAACUUCCACAUUACCACCAAUGAUCUUUGACAAAAUCAAAUCUAACCAUGUAUUCUAUUGCUAUAAACUAUUUCAUGACUAUCAUUAGAUAGAAAGAACGGCUUUCUCGCUAGAAACAGUAAAAACUGAACUCCUUGGUUUGAAAAAAAUUGCUUUAAUAGUUCACCUAUCUUCUCCUCUUUAAAAAAUUCUACAGAAUCCUUUAUAGGAUCUACAGAAUCCUUUUCCCCACUCUGCCAUAUUCACCCUUCCUCAAACAAGCUCUGUGCUUUUUUGAAUCUGUGCUUUUAUAUUUACCACUUCCUUCACCAAAAAUGCUCUUUUCCACCAUCUGCACCUGGAACUUUUUCAAAAGUCCACUUGCCUGAAAUCUUUGGGCAGAAAUAUCUAUUGCGUCUGUAGUCACCUAACUCUGUGCAUGACUGUCUUCUUUACACAAUGAAUUAGUAAUUGUGUGAGUGCACUAUGUGGUAAGAACACAUUAGUGAACAGAAAAAGAAGAAACUCAUUCCCACAAUCACGGUGCUUACCUGGAGAAUACAAAGGAAUGUUAGCACUGCUAAAAGUACUAUAAUGGAGAGGCACAAGGCCUCUCAGAAUAAAUCUGUGUGUAAAUGACUUAGGGAGAUCAGGGAAGAUAUUCUUAAAUUAAGGAUUUUUUAGUUGAUAUCUGAGGAGUACAUCAGGCAAAAAGGGAGCAAGACUUGGACUUAGACUAGGGCUCUUUGACACAUUCCAGUCUUUGGACAAUGUUUUAUCAUUCCAUAGCUACAUUUAUAUAAUAAUUGAAGGUGGAGUUCCCAUUGUGGCACAGUGGGUUAAGAAUCUGACUAGUAUCCAUGAGGAUGUGGGUUCGAUCCUUGGCCUAGCUUAGUGGGUUAAGGAUCUGGUAUUGCCAUGUGCUGUGGUGUAGGUCACAGACACAGUUUGGAUCCAGUGUUGUUAUGGUGUAUGCCAGCAGCUGCAGCUCUGAUUUGACUUCUAGCUCAGGAAACUUCCAUGUGCUGCAGGUGC
RNAcentral lists this long non-coding RNA (4901 nucleotides) under Sus scrofa (pig). RNAcentral describes it as "lncRNA (ENSSSCG00000062580.1)". The record is from RNAcentral. Lineage: Eukaryota; Metazoa; Chordata; Mammalia; Artiodactyla; Suidae.